RNAcentral lists this transfer RNA (59 nucleotides) under Potos flavus (kinkajou). Its description in RNAcentral is "tRNA-Ser". The record is from RNAcentral. Lineage: Eukaryota; Metazoa; Chordata; Mammalia; Carnivora; Procyonidae.
GAAAAAGUACGCAAGAACUGCUAACUCAUGCCCCCAUGCGUAAAAACAUGGCUUUUUCA